RNAcentral lists this long non-coding RNA (437 nucleotides) under Gossypium barbadense (sea-island cotton). Its description in RNAcentral is "long non-coding RNA (GBAR_LNC018779)". The record is from RNAcentral. Lineage: Eukaryota; Viridiplantae; Streptophyta; Magnoliopsida; Malvales; Malvaceae.
UUUCAUGGACCAGUGUAUCAGCAGGAGAAACCAACUGCAACCUCACAAGCUUACCGUCUUGGGAGGAGGACUGCGCAUGGUUGCUGGAUUGUCAGGAUUUUGGUGCUAACGACUUUGGGUUCGAUUACCUAAACGACAUUGAAUUGAACACGUUAGAGAUGGGCGAUAAAUCGGUAGCCUGAUGCACCGUAGUUGAAGGUUUGAGUAAAAAAUUAUCAAAACUAAUUACUCAAAGCUUCAAGUUAGGUGCAUGUGUUAACAAAAAUAUUAGUUGAUUUUGGGUCUCGUUCCUGUUUUUUCAUAAUACUAAUGCUGGAAGGUCCAAGGUGAUACCAUUACCUAUUCCAAAGUGAUACCAUUACCAACCCUCAUAAAUUUCUUGAUGCCUUGCAAAUAUGGUAAUCUUUCUUCUGUAAAAUGACAGGGAAACGAUUAUU